RNAcentral lists this ribosomal RNA (253 nucleotides) under uncultured bacterium. RNAcentral's name for it is "partial 16S ribosomal RNA". It matches the Rfam family "Bacterial small subunit ribosomal RNA", at positions 524 to 776 of the family's 1533-position model. The record is from RNAcentral.
UACAGAGGGGGCAAGCGUUGUUCGGAAUUACUGGGCGUAAAGGGCGCGUAGGCGGCCUGCUAAGUCGAACGUGAAAUCCCCGGGCUCAACCCGGGAACUGCGUCCGAUACUGGCAGGCUUGAAUCCGGGAGAGGGAUGUGGAAUUCCAGGUGUAGCGGUGAAAUGCGUAGAUAUCUGGAGGAACACCGGUGGCGAAGGCGGCAUCCUGGACCGGCAUUGACGCUGAGGCGCGAAAGCGUGGGGAGCAAACAGG